RNAcentral lists this ribosomal RNA (868 nucleotides) under Staphylococcus aureus. RNAcentral's name for it is "partial 23S ribosomal RNA". It matches the Rfam family "Bacterial large subunit ribosomal RNA", at positions 1919 to 2786 of the family's 2925-position model. The record is from RNAcentral. Lineage: Bacteria; Bacillati; Bacillota; Bacilli; Caryophanales; Staphylococcaceae.
CCCAGUAAACGGCGGCCGUAACUAUAACGGUCCUAAGGUAGCGAAAUUCCUUGUCGGGUAAGUUCCGACCCGCACGAAAGGCGUAACGAUUUGGGCACUGUCUCAACGAGAGACUCGGUGAAAUCAUAGUACCUGUGAAGAUGCAGGUUACCCGCGACAGGACGGAAAGACCCCGUGGAGCUUUACUGUAGCCUGAUAUUGAAAUUCGGCACAGCUUGUACAGGAUAGGUAGGAGCCUUUGAAACGUGAGCGCUAGCUUACGUGGAGGCGCUGGUGGGAUACUACCCUAGCUGUGUUGGCUUUCUAACCCGCACCACUUAUCGUGGUGGGAGACAGUGUCAGGCGGGCAGUUUGACUGGGGCGGUCGCCUCCUAAAAGGUAACGGAGGCGCUCAAAGGUUCCCUCAGAAUGGUUGGAAAUCAUUCAUAGAGUGUAAAGGCAUAAGGGAGCUUGACUGCGAGACCUACAAGUCGAGCAGGGUCGAAAGACGGACUUAGUGAUCCGGUGGUUCCGCAUGGAAGGGCCAUCGCUCAACGGAUAAAAGCUACCCCGGGGAUAACAGGCUUAUCUCCCCCAAGAGUUCACAUCGACGGGGAGGUUUGGCACCUCGAUGUCGGCUCAUCGCAUCCUGGGGCUGUAGUCGGUCCCAAGGGUUGGGCUGUUCGCCCAUUAAAGCGGUACGCGAGCUGGGUUCAGAACGUCGUGAGACAGUUCGGUCCCUAUCCGUCGUGGGCGUAGGAAAUUUGAGAGGAGCUGUCCUUAGUACGAGAGGACCGGGAUGGACAUACCUCUGGUGUACCAGUUGUCGUGCCAACGGCAUAGCUGGGUAGCUAUGUGUGGACGGGAUAAGUGCUGAAAGCAUCUAAGC